CAGCCGCCGCGGUAAUACCGGCGGCCCGAGUGGCGGCCACUAUUAUUGGGCCUAAAGCGUCCGUAGCCGGGCUGGUAAGUCCCCCGGGAAAUCUGGCGGCUUAACCGUCAGAAUUCCGGGGGAUACUGCCAGCCUAGGGACCGGGAGAGGCCGGGGGUAUUCCCGGGGUAGGGGUGAAAUCCUGUAAUUCCGGGAGGACCACCUGUGGCGAAGGCGCCCGGCUGGAACGGGUCCGACGGUGAGGGACGAAGGCCAGGGGAGCGAACCGGAUUAGAUACCCGGGUAGUCUUGGCUGUAAAGGAUGCGGGCUAGGUGUCGGGUGAGCUUCGGGCUCGCCCGGUGCCGUAGGGAAGCCGUUAAGCCCGCCGCCUGGGGAGUACGGCCGCAAGGCUGAAACUUAAAGGAAUUGGCGGG
RNAcentral lists this ribosomal RNA (414 nucleotides) under uncultured microorganism. RNAcentral's name for it is "bacterial SSU rRNA". It matches the Rfam family "Archaeal small subunit ribosomal RNA", at positions 459 to 872 of the family's 1478-position model. The record is from RNAcentral.